UGCAGCUUGCUUACAUGUACAACAAAAGUACUUGCAAGUGUGAGGUCCAUUGACGUUCACAAAUCACCAGCGAAUUCAACCACUAAUGGUUCUUCAACAAUCUGGAAUGUACGUGCCUCUGGUGAUAUUCAAUGUAUGAAAGCGGAUGGAAAUGAAAACUAUGCAUUAUUUGGCGGGUGUGUUUCAUAACUCUAUAUUAUAAGCUUGUUGGUUGUUUACAAAGUGAUACGAGAGGAAUGAUCAUUCCUUGCUCUACAACUCAAGAAGGGAGUUCAAGUUAAUGUGUGGGAUUUUGACAAAUGUACUAAGAUGUGGACUGCAAAAUCUCCUGCUAAAACAAUCUUGGUAUAUUUACCCCAACUUGGUUUACAUCUACAACAUUCUUAAAGUAAAGAUGACCAUCGCAAAUUUGUGGCUGGCACCACUUCCCACCAGAUAACUUGUGACAGCUAACUCCUCUCCUAUGUUGUGUGAAACCCCAAGUUCUAAUAUUCUGUCCAAAGGUAAUUCUUUUGGAAUGUUACAAUGACCAAUAAAGUUAAUAUUUUCCAGUGUAUUCUGUUCUACUGGGUUGAUUAGAAUUGUGGGGUAGUUUUAAUAAACAAGCAAAUAAUUUACCUUUACAAAUAUGCUCUAUUGGGCUGUUAGAAUUUUGGUUUCCCACUCUGUUCUUCACCUUCUUGUUUAUAAUUGAUCAUAAAUUGUGAUCAAGAAUGGGAUUACCGAGAAUAUUGACUAGUGGUCUUGAUGUGCCAAAUGUUGCAUCAUUAUGAAUUUUCUGAUUCAUGUAUUUGUGUGUUCAUAUUUCUAUGUAUUUCUGUAUGCUAUUUAUAAUAAUAAUAAUAACAAAUUCUAUUCA
Cornus florida is the source of this 859-nucleotide long non-coding RNA. RefSeq lists it as uncharacterized. NCBI's taxonomy places the organism in Eukaryota, Viridiplantae, Streptophyta, Magnoliopsida, Cornales, Cornaceae. The transcript has 2 exons. The record is from RefSeq and is a predicted model, not a curated record.